UACGUAGGGGGCAAGCGUUGUCCGGAGUUACUGGGCGUAAAGGGCGCGCAGGCGGUCUGGUAAGUUUGGAGUGACAGUGCUCGGCUUAACUGAGCAAGGCCUUCGAAAACUGCUAGACUUGAGCACUCAAGAGGGACAUAGGAUUCCGGGUGGAGUGGUGAAAUGCGUAGAUAUCUGGAGGAACACCGGUGGCGAAGGCGGCAUCCUGGACCGGCAUUGACGCUGAGGAGCGAAAGCCAGGGGAGCAAACGGG
Molecule: ribosomal RNA, 253 nt
Filed under: uncultured prokaryote
Description: partial 16S ribosomal RNA
Rfam family: Bacterial small subunit ribosomal RNA
Source: RNAcentral